ACUGCUCAGUAACACGUACGAAUUUACCCUCUUCUUGAGAAUACCUUGUCGAAAGAUGAGCUAAUACUCAAUAGUCCCUUUGAUGUCCAAAAGACAUUUUUGGGUAAAGGACAUAACUGUUUGGAAGUGGAGAAGCGUGCGGACUAUCAGGUAGUUGGUAGGGUAACGGCCUACCAAGCCAAUGACGGUUAGCUGGUUGGUGAACGACGAUCAGUCAGAGGAGCACUGAGACACGGGCUCCACACCUACGGGUGGCAGCAAUCGGGAAUAGUUGGCAAUGGGCGAAAGCCUGACCACGCGACACCGCGUGCGGGAAGAAGCUCUUUUGAGCUUAAACCGCUGUGGUAAGAGAUGAACCCCCGCCUUAGGCGGGGUUGACCGUAUCUUAUUAGAAAGUGACCGCUAAUUGCGUGCCAGCAGCGGCGGUAAUACGUGAGUCACAAGCGUUAUCCGGUGUUAAUGGGCGUAAAGUGUGUGUAGGUGCCCCGACGAGUUUUUGUUUAAAUAUCCCGAUUCAAUCGGGAAAAGGGCAAAAAUACUGUCGGGGUUGAGUUUUCUUUAGGGAAAUCGGAAUUUAUGGAGGAGCAGUGAAAUGCGUUGAUACCAUAAAGAACACCAGUGGCGAAGGCGGAUUUCUGGAAGAAGACUGACACUGAGACACGAAAGCUAGGGGAGCGAACCGGAUUAGAGACCCGGGUAGUCCUAAGCUCUAAACUAUGCUCGCUGGCUGCAUUUUCCCCGCCUUUGGCUGGGAGGGUGUGGCGAAGUCAACACGUUAAGCGAGCCGCCUGGGAAGUACGGUCGCAAGACUGAAACUCAAAGGAAUUGGCGGGGGAGCAC
Molecule: ribosomal RNA, 840 nt
Filed under: uncultured archaeon
Lineage: Archaea
Description: bacterial SSU rRNA
Rfam family: Bacterial small subunit ribosomal RNA
Source: RNAcentral